UUAAGUUAGAAAGGGCGCACGGUGGAUGCCUUGACACUAGGAGUCGAUGAAGGACGGGACUAACGCCGAUAUGCUUCGGGGAGCUGUAAGUAAGCUUUGAUCCGAAGAUUUCCGAAUGGGGAAACCCACCAUACGUAAUGGUAUGGUAUCCUUAUCUGAAUACAUAGGGUAAGGAAGACAGACCCAGGGAACUGAAACAUCUAAGUACCUGGAGGAAGAGAAAGCAAAUGCGAUUUCCUGAGUAGCGGCGAGCGAAACGGAACAUAGCCCAAACCAAGAGGCUUGCCUCUUGGGGUUGUAGGACAUUCUAUACGGAGUUACAAAGGAACGAGGUAGACGAAGCGACCUGGAAAGGUCCGUCGUAGAGGGUAACAACCCCGUAGUCGAAACUUCGUUCUCUCUUGAAUGUAUCCUGAGUACGGCGGAACACGUGAAAUUCCGUCGGAAUCUGGGAGGACCAUCUCCCAAGGCUAAAUACUCCCUAGUGAUCGAUAGUGAACCAGUACCGUGAGGGAAAGGUGAAAAGCACCCCGGAAGGGGAGUGAAAGAGAUCCUGAAACCGUGUGCCUACAAAUAGUCAGAGCCCGUUAACGGGUGAUGGCGUGCCUUUUGUAGAAUGAACCGGCGAGUUACGAUCCCGUGCGAGGUUAAGCUGAAGAGGCGGAGCCGCAGCGAAAGCGAGUCUGAAUAGGGCGUUUAGUACGUGGUCGUAGACCCGAAACCAGGUGAUCUACCCAUGUCCAGGGUGAAGUUCAGGUAACACUGAAUGGAGGCCCGAACCCACGCACGUUGAAAAGUGCGGGGAUGAGGUGUGGGUAGCGGAGAAAUUCCAAUCGAACCUGGAGAUAGCUGGUUCUCCCCGAAAUAGCUUUAGGGCUAGCCUUAAGUGUAAGAGUCUUGGAGGUAGAGCACUGAUUGGACUAGGGGUCCUCAUCGGAUUACCGAAUUCAGUCAAACUCCGAAUGCCAAUGACUUAUCCUUAGGAGUCAGACUGCGAGUGAUAAGAUCCGUAGUCAAAAGGGAAACAGCCCAGACCGCCAGCUAAGGUCCCAAAGUGUGUAUUAAGUGGAAAAGGAUGUGGAGUUGCUUAGACAACUAGGAUGUUGGCUUAGAAGCAGCCACCAUUUAAAGAGUGCGUAAUAGCUCACUAGUCGAGUGACUCUGCGCCGAAAAUGUACCGGGGCUAAAUACACCACCGAAGCUGCGGAUUGAUACCAAUGGUAUCAGUGGUAGGGGAGCGUUCUAAGGACAGUGAAGUCAGACCGGAAGGACUGGUGGAGUGCUUAGAAGUGAGAAUGCCGGUAUGAGUAGCGAAAGACGGGUGAGAAUCCCGUCCACCGAAUGCCUAAGGUUUCCUGAGGAAGGCUCGUCCGCUCAGGGUUAGUCAGGACCUAAGCCGAGGCCGACAGGCGUAGGCGAUGGACAACAGGUUGAUAUUCCUGUACCACCUCUUUAUCGUUUGAGCAAUGGAGGGACGCAGAAGGAUAGAAGAAGCGUGCGAUUGGUUGUGCACGUCCAAGCAGUUAGGCUGAUAAGUAGGCAAAUCCGCUUAUCGUGAAGGCUGAGCUGUGAUGGGGAAGCUCCUUAUGGAGCGAAGUCUUUGAUUCCCCGCUGCCAAGAAAAGCUUCUAGCGAGAUAAAAGGUGCCUGUACCGCAAACCGACACAGGUAGGCGAGGAGAGAAUCCUAAGGUGUGCGAGAGAACUCUGGUUAAGGAACUCGGCAAAAUGACCCCGUAACUUCGGGAGAAGGGGUGCUUUCUUAACGGAAAGCCGCAGUGAAUAGGCCCAAGCGACUGUUUAGCAAAAACACAGCUCUCUGCGAAGCCGUAAGGCGAAGUAUAGGGGGUGACACCUGCCCGGUGCUGGAAGGUUAAGGAGAGGGGUUAGCGUAAGCGAAGCUCUGAACUGAAGCCCCAGUAAACGGCGGCCGUAACUAUAACGGUCCUAAGGUAGCGAAAUUCCUUGUCGGGUAAGUUCCGACCCGCACGAAAGGUGUAACGAUUUGGGCACUGUCUCAACCAGAGACUCGGUGAAAUUAUAGUACCUGUGAAGAUGCAGGUUACCCGCGACAGGACGGAAAGACCCCGUGGAGCUUUACUGUAGCCUGAUAUUGAAUUUUGGUACAGUUUGUACAGGAUAGGCGGGAGCCUUUGAAACCGGAGCGCUAGCUUCGGUGGAGGCGCUGGUGGGAUACCGCCCUGACUGUAUUGAAAUUCUAACCUACGGGUCUUAUCGACCCGGGAGACAGUGUCAGGUGGGCAGUUUGACUGGGGCGGUCGCCUCCUAAAGUGUAACGGAGGCGCCCAAAGGUUCCCUCAGAAUGGUUGGAAAUCAUUCGUAGAGUGCAAAGGCAUAAGGGAGCUUGACUGCGAGACCUAAAAAGUCGAGCAGGGACGAAAGUCGGGCUUAGUGAUCCGGUGGUUCCGCAUGGAAGGGCCAUCGCUCAACGGAUAAAAGCUACCCCGGGGAUAACAGGCUUAUCUCCCCCAAGAGUCCACAUCGACGGGGAGGUUUGGCACCUCGAUGUCGGCUCAUCGCAUCCUGGGGCUGUAGUCGGUCCCAAGGGUUGGGCUGUUCGCCCAUUAAAGCGGUACGCGAGCUGGGUUCAGAACGUCGUGAGACAGUUCGGUCCCUAUCCGUCGUGGGCGUAGGAAAUUUGAGAGGAGCUGUCCUUAGUACGAGAGGACCGGGAUGGACGCACCGCUGGUGUACCAGUUGUUCUGCCAAGGGCAUAGCUGGGUAGCUAUGUGCGGAAGGGAUAAGUGCUGAAAGCAUCUAAGCAUGAAGCCCCCCUCAAGAUGAGAUUUCCCAUAGCGUAAGCUAGUAAGAUCCCUGAAAGAUGAUCAGGUUGAUAGGUUCGAGGUGGAAGCAUGGUGACAUGUGGAGCUGACGAAUACUAAUAGAUCGAGGACUUAACCAU
Molecule: ribosomal RNA, 2921 nt
Filed under: Bacillus cereus
Lineage: Bacteria; Bacillati; Bacillota; Bacilli; Caryophanales; Bacillaceae
Description: bacterial LSU rRNA
Rfam family: Bacterial large subunit ribosomal RNA
Source: RNAcentral